AGUGAACGCUGGCGGUAGGCCUAACACAUGCAAGUCGAACGGCAGCACAGUAAGAGCUUGCUCUUACGGGUGGCGAGUGGCGGACGGGUGAGGAAUACAUCGGAAUCUACUUUUUCGUGGGGGAUAACGUAGGGAAACUUACGCUAAUACCGCAUACGACCUACGGGUGAAAGCAGUGGAUCUUCGGACCUUGCGCGAUUGAAUGAGCCGAUGUCGGAUUAGCUAGUUGGCGGGGUAAAGGCCCACCAAGGCGACGAUCCGUAGCUGGUCUGAGAGGAUGAUCCGCCACACUGGAACUGAGACACGGUCCAGACUCCUACGGGAGGCAGCAGUGGGGAAUAUUGGACAAUGGGCGCAAGCCUGAUCCAGCCAUACCGCGUGGGUGAAGAAGGCCUUCGGGUUGUAAAGCCCUUUUGUUGGGAAAGAAAAGCAGCAGGUUAAUCCCCCGCUGUUCUGACGGUACCCAAAGAAUAAGCACCGGCUAACUUCGUG
Molecule: ribosomal RNA, 492 nt
Filed under: uncultured bacterium
Lineage: Bacteria
Description: partial 16S ribosomal RNA
Rfam family: Bacterial small subunit ribosomal RNA
Source: RNAcentral